CAGUAGCCGCGGGAAUACAGAGGGUGCGAGCGUUAAUCGGAUUUACUGGGCGUAAAGCGUGCGUAGGCGGCUUUUUAAGUCGGAUGUGAAAUCCCUGAGCUUAACUUAGGAAUUGCAUUCGAUACUGGGAAGCUAGAGUAUGGGAGAGGAUGGUAGAAUUCCAGGUGUAGCGGUGAAAUGCGUAGAGAUCUGGAGGAAUACCGAUGGCGAAGGCAGCUAUCUGGCCUAAUACUGACGCUGAGGUACGAAAGCAUGGGGAGCAAACAGGAUUAGAUACCCCCGUAGUCCCUGUCUCUUAUAC
Molecule: ribosomal RNA, 301 nt
Filed under: uncultured bacterium
Lineage: Bacteria
Description: partial 16S ribosomal RNA
Rfam family: Bacterial small subunit ribosomal RNA
Source: RNAcentral